UCUUCCCUACCUUUCUCUCCUUCUCCAUCAAAAUAGAGUGCAUCGGUGAUUAGAACUGAAUUCAUCCUCUUGUUUUCCUUCCCAAGAACACAGCAAGGAUUUGGGAGAGAUCAUUGCUGUUGUUCCUUUCCUGUAACAGGAGUGAUGAUCAUCCUGCUGCGAUAGAAGCCACUCCGAUCAGCAGCAAUGCGAGUCGAUUGUCCUGCCAUAUCAUGUCGUCAUCGCCACCGUUCUUGUACAGCAUGUGAUCAUCUCGAAGGUCGAAUUAUCUAUGUCGUCUCUAUGAACGUGCUGCUAGCAUCGAUCCCAGUGGCCACGUUGACGCUGCCGCUGGCUCUCAACAAACAGCAAGGUCGACCCUCUCUCUCUAUGUGUGAUUCAUAUCAGCCCUGUCUUGAUCUUCUCUCAUCACAGAACUUUGAGGAUGCACUCAUGAUCAUCUCCGGCGCCAAGAUGUAGCUGUAGUACCCCUGCUGUUACACAUAAGCAGCAGCCCUGCAUCUACCUUUCAUUGUCACUGCCACUGAUAGUUUCCUCCUUGCCACCACGAAAGUCCAAUGUGAGGAAUCAACAUCCUUUGUAUCUUUUAUGUUGAUCCCAAUUGCAAUACACGCACCCUAGUUCAUAUUUGAUAGAAUUCCGGCAAAGUAUCACUGCAAUUGUGUUGCUGUCCAUUUUGGACAGCAGUGCUGCUGCCGGUUACCGUUCACAUUCCCAGUGAUCCAUGCCUCUAGUCAUCAAACCUUUUGAUCAUGAUAUAGAUCUUGAUGUUUUACACACCUCUACAAAUCAGUUUGGUCAUAGGAGCCAUGGUGCCGGAGUUAUUGAUAUCGUUGUGCUUGCUGCUCCUGCAUCUAUGCAGCAGCACCCUUGCCGAUUGGCAUGCAUAUUCUGGACAAUCCACAAAUCCAUUUGACAAUCCCUUGGAUCCACAAAUGUAUCACAUAUUUGCCCACGUCUCUGUAAAUUUUCAUGCCCAUAGAAUCUAAGAUGAAAGGGAUAUUCACUUCUUCUUAUGCUCACUGUCCCUGCUGCCCUGCAGCAGCAUUCCUGCCGGUUGGCAUGCAUGUUCCCAUUAUUCCCUCGCUCCACUGACCAUGUUGUUCGACCACAGUGUGUUUUAUAUCCUUGCACACACACCUAAGAAAUUUCAUGGCAAUAGGAUUCAAGAUAAAAGAGAUAUCAUUUUUCUUGUGCUCGCUGUCUUUGCUGCCCUGCAGCCGCGCUGCAGCCGAUUGGCGAGUACGUUCCCGAAAAUCCACUACUACGUUUGUCAAA
Molecule: long non-coding RNA, 1278 nt
Organism: Sorghum bicolor (sorghum)
Lineage: Eukaryota; Viridiplantae; Streptophyta; Magnoliopsida; Poales; Poaceae
Exons: 2
Source: RefSeq, a predicted model, not a curated record